Molecule: ribosomal RNA, 205 nt
Filed under: uncultured bacterium
Lineage: Bacteria
Description: partial 16S ribosomal RNA
Rfam family: Bacterial small subunit ribosomal RNA
Source: RNAcentral
UACAGAGGGUGCGAGCGUUAUCGGAAUUACUGGGCGUAAAGCGUGCGUAGACGGUUUGUAAGUCGGGUGUGAAAUCCCCGGGCUCAACCUGGGAAUUGCAUUCGAGACUGCAAGGCUGGGGUGCGGAAGAGGGAAGCGGAAUUUCCGGUGUAGCGGUGAAAUGCGUAGAUAAUCGGAAGGAACAUCAGUGGCUGAAAGCGGACUU